AUGGCGACCGGCGCACAGGUGAGUAACACGUAUCCAACCUGCCGAUAACUCGGGGAUAGCCUUUCGAAAGAAAGAUUAAUACCCGAUGGUAUAAUCAGACCGCAUGGUUUGAUUAUUAAAGAAUUUCGGUUAUCGAUGGGGAUGCGUUCCAUUAGGCAGUUGGUGAGGUAACGGCUCACCAAACCUUCGAUGGAUAGGGGUUCUGAGAGGAAGGUCCCCCACAUUGGAACUGAGACACGGUCCAA
Molecule: ribosomal RNA, 245 nt
Filed under: uncultured bacterium
Lineage: Bacteria
Description: partial 16S ribosomal RNA
Rfam family: Bacterial small subunit ribosomal RNA
Source: RNAcentral